GUGCUCACUCCGUCAGGACGUAUACUGAGAUUGGAACGAUACAGAGAAGAUUAGCAUGUCCCCUAUGCAAGGAUGACAUGCAAAUUCGUGGGGUGUUGCAUGUUUUU
Small nuclear RNA from Manis pentadactyla (Chinese pangolin), 107 nucleotides. The record is from RefSeq and is a predicted model, not a curated record. NCBI's taxonomy places the organism in Eukaryota, Metazoa, Chordata, Mammalia, Pholidota, Manidae.